Notechis scutatus (mainland tiger snake) is the source of this 258-nucleotide non-coding RNA. Lineage: Eukaryota; Metazoa; Chordata; Lepidosauria; Squamata; Elapidae. The record is from RefSeq and is a predicted model, not a curated record.
UGCUAGGCAACGGCGGAAGUGGCGGAAAAAAAAAAAGGGGGAAAGGAAAGGAGAGGAGGAGGAGGAGGAGGCGGCGGCGGAGGAGGAGGAGGAGGAGGGCGGCCUGCGGCCUGGCUCAGAGCUCGGAGAGGCCGGACGGAGGGACCCGGAGUCGCUGCCGUCGCCGUUUCCGCUCCUGGUGCUGAAGAGGGCUCGGCCCCACAGAGGCAUCAUGGUGAGGGAGAAGCCGCGGGGCUGUGCCUGGGAUUUGAUGGGCGA